UCUCUCUCUCUCUCUCUUAGCUUCUCUGGGUCAGCAUCAUCCCUUAACAAGCUGCACAAAUUUGUCUCGCAGAGGAGCAGCAUGAGUCCGAGACUCCACAGAGCUACGCGGAGAGGACGCACCGGUUUCCCGGAAUGGAUUUGGUCAUCCGGGAGUUUUCAUUCCACCAGCUGAAUGCUAAUCUUUUGUGGCCGGGGACGUUCGCAUUUGCUGAAUGGUUAGUUCAGCACCGGACAUGGAUUGAAGGACGGCGCAUCAUUGAGCUUGGCAGAUUCAUGGGGAGACACCUUUCCCGUUGGUGAGCCACAUUGGGACCUGGUCAUUGCUAGUGACAUUUUGUUAUGUAAGUUUCUAAGCUGUCUUUCAUUAGGUAGUGGCUCUGUGGUAGUCUCUUGGAACCAGUAUCCAUCUGCUCGUCAUCUGUCUUGUGAAGAGCACUCGUGUGCUGAUGUAGUGAUCGACGCAGAUGCAUCCAUGCGUUAGAAAAAAUCCAAAACCGAACCCACCAAAUGAGAGCGGCGAGACACCAGCUCCGCCAAGCCAUUGACUCGCUGUACUCUCGCGGGCGCGCGGCCCCUGAGUCCUACACUCGUCUGGUGCUCGAAUGCGUUCGCGCCCACGAUGUCGAUCAAGCCAGGCGAUUGCAAUCUCACAUGGAGCUCCACUCCUUUCGACCUGACGACACCUACUUACACAAUCGCCUCCUCCACUUGUACGCGAGGUCUGGCCAGCUCGACGAUGCCCGGAAGCUGUUCGACGAAAUGCCCAGGAGAGACGUUUUCUCGUGGAAUGCUAUGCUUUCGGUGCACGCUAAAUGUGGGUCUGUUGGGGACAUGUGGGCAACCUUCGAUGAGAUGCCUGUACGCGACGGUGUUUCCUAUAACACAGUUAUCGCGGGUUUCGCUGGGAAUGGACAGCCUCAAAAGGCUCUGCAAGUGUUUGUGAAUAUGCACGAAAAUGGGUUUGCGCCAACUGAAUAUACUCACGUGAGCGCAUUGAAUGCCUGUUCACAGUUGCAGGGUUUGAGGCUGGGAAAGCAAAUUCAUGGCAGGAUAGUUGCUAGUAAUUUUAGGGGCAGUGCGUUUGUUUGGAAUGCGUUGACUGAUAUGUAUGCUAGAUGUGGUGAAAUUCAUUGGGCCAGGUGGUUGUUUGAUCGCAUGGUUGAUAAGAAUGUGGUUUCAUGGAACACAAUGAUUUCUGGCUAUGUGAUUAAUGGGAAUCCGGAUAAAUGUGUUGAUUUGUUCCGUGAGAUGCAAUUGACUGGUUGUAAGCCCGAUCAGAUUACGGUCUCCAAUGUCCUCAGAGCCUACUUUCAAUGUGGACAUGUCGUUGAAGCAGGGAAAUUGUUUGAUGAGAUCAGAGAGAGAGAUAAAAUUUGUUGGACGACAAUGAUAGUUGGCUACUCCCAAAGUUCAAGAGAAGAGGAUGCAUUGCUGCUUUUUUGUCGUAUGCUGUCAACAAAUGUGCAGCCCGAUGGUUUUACCAUCUCUAGUGUGGUGAGUUCCUGUGCCAAAUUAGCAUUUUUGUGUCUUGGUCAGGCUGUGCAUGCGAAAGCUAUUCUUGUGGGAGUUGAUGAUGAUCUGCUUGUUUCCAGUGCUCUUGUUGACAUGUACAGCAGCUGUGGAGUCAUUGCAGAUGCUCGGUUCAUUUUUAAUAGGAUGACUUCUAGGAAUGUUGUCUCUUGGAAUGCCAUGAUAGGUGGUUAUGCACAAAAUGGUCAAGAUCUGGAGGCCUUGAGACUAUAUGAGGAGAUGCUGCAAGGGAACAUGAAACCCGAUAUUAUCACUUUUAUAGCUGUUCUUUCAUCCUGUGUUCAUGCCAAUCUGAUGGAACAGGGACAGAAGUAUUUUGAUUCAAUCAGCAAAGUACAUGGGAUUACGGCAACUUUGGAUCAUUAUGCAUUCAUGGUCAGCCUCCUUGUUCGAUCAGGCCAGGGAGAUAAAGCACUGAGUCUCAUCAAGCAAAUGCCCCAUCAACCAAAUAGCGUAAUUUGGUCCUCUAUUUUGUCUUCAUGUGCAACAAUGGGCGAUAUUGAACUUGGAAAGAUAGCAGCAAGCCAUUUAUUUGAUCUUGAUCCAUGUAAUGCUGGACCAUAUAUUACACUAUCUAACAUGUAUGCAGCUAAUGCCAGAUGGAAAGAUGUUGCAUCUGUGAGAUCUCUGAUGAAGAACAGAAAUGUCAGGAAAGUCGCAGCUUACAGCUGGAUUGAGUUCGAUAGUAAGGUCCACAGAUUUGUGUCAGAAGAUCGUUCUCAUCCAGAGACAGAUCAAAUUUAUGAAGAACUGCUCAGAUUGAUAAAGAAACUACAAGUGGCUGGCUUUAUUCCUAAUACAAAGUCAGCACUCCAUGAUGUAGCUGACGAUGAGAAGCUUGCAUCUAUAAGCUACCACAGUGAGAAACUUGCUCUUGCAUUCAUCUUGCUCAAAAACCCUGAUGGUGCAAUUCCCAUACGAAUAAUAAAGAAUAUUCGUGUAUGCGGUGACUGCCACAUGUUUAUGAAAUAUGCAUCUGAACUUAUUGGGCGCCAUAUAAUCUUGAGAGAUUAUAACAGAUAUCAUCAUUUUAUUGGAGGAAACUGCUCUUGCAAUGAUUGCUGGUAGUAAGAAUUUCUGAUUUUCAAUUUUCUCAGACUGACGUCAGAUGGUUAAGUUGCAGCUUUGUGGUGGAUGGUCUGUUUGCAGCAGGAGCCCUUCGACUUGUUGAGAUGAACUGAGCCAAGAGCUAGAUGCAAGAUCCUUUUCAUUGGGCUACCAACAAUGGAUCAUCUCGUUGAAGGUUCAGUUGAUCAUUUCUUUUCUCUUGGAAGCUAUAACGAGGUGUUGGGGCUCUUCAAGCACCGGACUGAUCUUCACUAGAUGAGUCCAUCCCCAUGCCAAUGCGUGCCGACUGAUUUCAGGCACACAAGGCUGCUUAUGGGAAUGAUCUGAAUAGAAUGUGCUAACAUCAUAAUUCAAAACCAAAUCUUGAGCAAGAAUGACGAACAAGCUUAUCAAUUGAGGAACCCCAAGCAAUUCAUUGUUAGUUUAUCACAUGAGUGAGGUCACUGGAUAGGUCAACACUUCUUCACUCGGUGAUUGUAGAUUGUUCAUGAGCUACGCUUGAUGCUUAUAAGCUCGGAUCUCUGGAUAUCGUACAGACAAUCUUUUGUUAAACAACUUAGAUCAAGAGGAGCUAGUGACACAGGUUUGUUCUGGUAGGCAAUCGAGUAUACACUAAAAAUGGGUUACUCCUCUUUCUCUGUA
This is an RNA transcript of Syzygium oleosum, 3242 nucleotides long. It is a transcript of the gene named pentatricopeptide repeat-containing protein At4g21065-like, with no coding region annotated. The transcript has 4 exons. The record is from RefSeq and is a predicted model, not a curated record. Lineage: Eukaryota; Viridiplantae; Streptophyta; Magnoliopsida; Myrtales; Myrtaceae.